This is a long non-coding RNA of Salvia miltiorrhiza (redroot sage), 651 nucleotides long. RefSeq lists it as uncharacterized. NCBI's taxonomy places the organism in Eukaryota, Viridiplantae, Streptophyta, Magnoliopsida, Lamiales, Lamiaceae. The transcript has 2 exons. The record is from RefSeq and is a predicted model, not a curated record.
CCGAAAUUUUUAGUGAAAUUAGAAUUUGAGCAUAGUCAAUUCUUGUUGACCCGUGACUCAAAUACAUGCCUAAUGGAAAGUUUAACUUUCUAAUCGGUUAAUUAGACGAGAUGAGAGCGAAUAGAUCUGCUAAGAAAGUGGACUUUUCGAUGUGUUAAAUAUUUCUUUUAAUUGAAGCGCUGCUAAUUAUAACAUAAGGAUGUUAUAAUUAAUGAGUAAUGACGAGAGAUAAUAAUUGUUAUAUUGAUUAACAAUCAAGAGAGAUGAACAUUAGAGAUACUAAUGUUUCAUAAAAGAGAUUAGAUUAUUAAUCGAGGUUUCUUUUAUAACUUCUCACCAAUUCUUCAUAACGAUGAAGGUCCUUUUGGGAAGUAACGACUUGAGGGAGAGAGUGACGUUACUCAUUGAUACAGAGACACAACGAGGUUGAGCUGAUGUGAUGAUGGUGCUGCAAUGAGCGGAGUCUCCAGGGUUGUUAAUAAAUAGUUAACCUGUCUAGAAUAUGUCUUCAUACAUAUGUCUAGCUACUUUCCGCUGCAAGAUGUUGUUGAUGUUAUAGUAUGUUAUGUCAUACUUUGAGUCUUAAGAGAAUGGUUUCAUACGAUGUAUAACUUGAUUAAUGAUAUUAAUUAAGUUUUAUGCUGUCUUUCA